This 202-nucleotide long non-coding RNA is filed under the name Homo sapiens (human). RNAcentral describes it as "HSALNT0293815". The record is from RNAcentral. Lineage: Eukaryota; Metazoa; Chordata; Mammalia; Primates; Hominidae.
AAAAAGAUCCUUUUGCCCUUCUGCUCCACGGGAGGUUUCUGUCCUCCCUGAGCUCGCCUUAGGACACCUGCGUUACCGUUUGACAGGUGUACAGCCCCAGUCAAACUCCCCACCUGGCACUGUCCCCGGAAAUGAUGAGUUCAUGUCCUUUGUAGGGACAUGGAUGAAAUUGGAAACCAUCAUUCUCAGUAAACUAUCGCAA